RNAcentral lists this long non-coding RNA (379 nucleotides) under Panax ginseng (ginseng). RNAcentral describes it as "long non-coding RNA (PGIN_LNC014297)". The record is from RNAcentral. Lineage: Eukaryota; Viridiplantae; Streptophyta; Magnoliopsida; Apiales; Araliaceae.
AGCUAUUGUAAACUACAUUUGGCAGUACGUCACAAAGGUCCUAUGCCAUUAACUUAGGGUUGUGAUUUCAAUUCCAACCAUACCUUUCAAACCGCUCCCCAUCGGAGACUUCAUACAAACUUCACCAUUGAAGCACAUUUCAACGAAGGUCAAGCAUCCUUGACGUUAUUCAGCCGUUAGAAAGUAAAUCAAACGAAGCAUCAGAGGUGGUCUGAUGACAUUCAGUCAUUGAAGUACAUUUCAACGAAGGUCAAGCAACUUUGACGUUACUCAGUCGUUGGCAAGUAAAUCUAACGAAGCAUCGGAGGUGGUCCGAUGACAUUCAGCCAUUGAAGUAUGUAGACACUCAAAAUUUUGCAUUCCUGUUACUAACAUUGCA